Molecule: ribosomal RNA, 111 nt
Filed under: Caerostris darwini
Lineage: Eukaryota; Metazoa; Arthropoda; Arachnida; Araneae; Araneidae
Source: RNAcentral
AACGGCUAUACCAUGCUGAAUAUACCGGUUCUCGUUAGAUCACCGAAGUCAAGCAUCAUUGGGCGCGGUCAGUACUUGAGUGGAUGAACACCUGGGAACACCGCGUGCAGU